UUUUAAGCCAGUGCUUUGAGUCACCUUUCAUUGAGGUUUCUUCUAUGUGAAGUGCACUGCAUGUAUUUGUAAACCUACUUGUUUUUCUCCUGUUAAUCUGUCUUUUGUUACAGGAGUCAGUCCCAACUACAAAUUUAAGAGAAUCACGGAAACACCCACAAACUUAUGAGGAUCACAGAAAACACCCCUACACCAACUUAUAGCCAAUCUAUUCAACCUGCAUUGUUAGCAGGCCGUGAAACCUCAGUUGUAACAUCAAUAAAAUGGGAAGAACAAAAAAGUUGCUGUGAAGUUAAAUGAGGUAAUGCAUGGAAAGCAUUUAAUAUAGAAGCUGGCAUAAAGUAAAUGUUAAC
Molecule: long non-coding RNA, 353 nt
Organism: Pan paniscus (pygmy chimpanzee)
Lineage: Eukaryota; Metazoa; Chordata; Mammalia; Primates; Hominidae
Source: Ensembl